This 467-nucleotide ribosomal RNA is filed under the name uncultured Oomycota. RNAcentral's name for it is "LSU rRNA". The stretch from base 1 to 83 matches the Rfam family "Bacterial large subunit ribosomal RNA", at positions 476 to 559 of the family's 2925-position model. Lineage: Eukaryota; Oomycota. The record is from RNAcentral.
GUGCGAGACCGAUAGCGAACAAGUACCGUGAGGAAAAGAUGAAAAGAACUUUGAAAAGAGAGUUAAAGAGUACCUGAAACUGCUGAAAGGGAAGCGAAUCGUAUCCAGUGUCUAUAAUCUGCGGCAUAUUUCAUUGGCGGCAGUGUGCGUGCUUUUGCGUCGGAAGCGGCUUUUGUUGCUCUGUGCUUUUGCUGUGCGUGGUGUUGCUGGUGCCCUGUGUUGCGGUGGGACGUCAGAGUCAGUUUGUAUGCUGCGGGAAAUGGCUGCCGAGGAGGUAGGUCGAGAUUUCGGUCUUGGCUGUUAUAUCUUGGUGGUUUGUUGUCGUGGUUGAGACUGAGGUGCCUACAAUGUGCUUUUGAGUGUACCGGGUUCUCAUUUGGUGGACUGUUUGGAUAGCUUGCUAUGCUUGUGGUUUUUUCAUCGGGUGAUUGAGUCUGGUGGUAACUUGUUGCUGUUCGGGACUUUGA